GUGGGUGGUGGUGGUCUUCUUCGUGUGUCGUGUCCCAUUGGAUUGUUGUGCUAUCACUGGGUGAACUCUGGUUUGGUUUUCUCUAAGUUUGUUCUAUUAAUUUUCCUUCCCCUUCACCGGCGCUUCUCACCAUUAGGCCUUAGCGAUUAGUUUUCUUUUCUUAUUUUGUGAGAAAUGUUAGAUUUUACGGGAAUGUAUAUUUAUUGAAUAAAAAUGUUUUUGUAACCUGGGAACCACGAGCCCUUGCCUGUUGAGUGAAACGAACCCGCGUGCUUUAAAAGGUCUUGGGCCUAUCCCAAGUGGCGUUGCCGGUAGAAUAGGGAACCAUUUCGCCACACUUGGCGUUGCUGGCAGGACUCUCUCUCAUAACGGCAAGGACGUGUGUUCCCGGGAUGUUUUUAGUUUUUUUUGUUGGUUCACUAAUGUCUGUCUUGUAGGCAUUUGGGUUUAAGGGGACAAAGCAGCAGUGGUUUCCAGUGGAUCUUCAUGCCAGUCUGAGGUACAGCUUUGUGGCAAGGUGAUGCCCCACUCUGGAGUUCUGGUUGUGAAAGAUCCCCCAGGUGGUGUUCCGGCUCAAGUGCCUGGUAUUCUGGGCAUGAAUGUCAUCCGUAAAUGCUACCAAGAGCUCUUUGGGCAGCAUGGCCUAACCUUGUUUUCUCAGCCCUGUGUUUCUGAGGCUCCGGGGCCGAUUGUGCGAGCACUGCAGCAGUGUUAUUAUGCGGAGGUUCCUCAGGAUAGCCCAGGAAGAGUAAAGGUCAGGGGUAAAAGGGUUUGGCGGAUUCCUGGUGGCGUCAUGAAGAUCGUUGCAGCCACGUGCUCUGAACAAUUCUCUGCCGCCACAGUGUUGUUUGAGCCCUUGGAGUCUGGGUUGCCUAGUGGCUUGCUUGCUUCUCCUGCCCUGGUUCAAGUAGUUAGGGGCACAGCCUACAUACCAGUGGUUAAUGUCGGCUCUGUUGAGGCUGUGCUGCACCCCCGCACAGUUAUUGGCACCCUGGGCCCCGUCAAUGUCAUCAGCCUUCCUGCAGGAGUGACUGAGGUGCCGUCGAAUUGGGCGACCAUGUCCUCUCACA
This is a long non-coding RNA of Gasterosteus aculeatus aculeatus (three-spined stickleback), 1070 nucleotides long. Lineage: Eukaryota; Metazoa; Chordata; Actinopteri; Perciformes; Gasterosteidae. The record is from Ensembl.